This 420-nucleotide ribosomal RNA is filed under the name Mollimonas sp. RNAcentral describes it as "partial small subunit ribosomal RNA". It matches the Rfam family "Eukaryotic small subunit ribosomal RNA", at positions 587 to 975 of the family's 1831-position model. The record is from RNAcentral. Lineage: Eukaryota; Cercozoa; Glissomonadida; Sandonidae.
AGCUCCAGUAGCGUAUAUUAAAGUUGUUGCCGCUAAAAAGCUCGUAGUUGGAUUUCUGGCAAACCUUGCUGGCCCGGUUCCUCACGGAACUGGGUGCCGGCAGGCGUUUCGCCAUCCUUUCCGGGAUGUUCUGGAAGCUGCUGCCUACCCGCAAGGGCAGGGCGGCGGCACCAGGUUUUAUGCAGACCGGAUCUGUUACUUUGAAAAAAUUAGAGUGUUUCAAGCAGGCAUUUUCGCCUUGAAUACAUUAGCAUGGAAUAACGACAAAGGACCGAGAGUUCAUUUUGUUGGUUUCUGAGUUCUAGGUAAUGAUUUAAUAGGGAUAGUUGGGGGUGCUACUAUUCAGCGGCCAGGGGUGAAAUCCUGUGAUUCGCUGACGAGUAACUACUGCGAAAGCAUUCACCAAGGAUGUCUUCUUUA